UCAUAUGUACAUGCCUAUAACGUUAAUGCACUUAAUACCAUUAAAACUCCACAGUUAAGUGUGUUUGGGCUAGAGUAGUACUAGGAUGGGUGACCUCUUAGGAAGUCAUAGUGUUUUACAUGCC
Molecule: non-coding RNA, 124 nt
Organism: Picea glauca (white spruce)
Lineage: Eukaryota; Viridiplantae; Streptophyta; Pinopsida; Pinales; Pinaceae
Source: Rfam